Molecule: long non-coding RNA, 256 nt
Organism: Salvia splendens (bonfire salvia)
Lineage: Eukaryota; Viridiplantae; Streptophyta; Magnoliopsida; Lamiales; Lamiaceae
Exons: 3
Source: RefSeq, a predicted model, not a curated record
GGGAAAGACAACAUUUCUUUUGGCUCUUGCAGGUCGCCUUGCACCAAGUUUGCAGAUGUCAGGGAAAGUUACAUAUAAUGGACAGAGUCUAGAAGAGUUCACUCCUCAGAGGACAUCAGCAUAUGCAAGUCAGCAGGAUUUACACAUCGCAGAGAUGACCGUGAGAGAGGUGCUUGAAUUUGCAGGAUCCUGUCAGGGUGCCGGAUUCAAGAAUGAAAUUCUCAUGGAACUUCUUAGAAGAGAAAAAAUUGCUGAA